ACAUGUCUUUUUAGUGGAGAAUUUAAAGUCGGACCUGCCCACUGAUAAAAUUAAAGGGCCGCGGUAUUUUGACCGUGCAAAGGUAGCAUAAUCAUUAGUCUUUUAAUUGAAGGCUGGAAUGAAUGGUUUGACGAAGUAUAGACUGUCUCUGUAUAAUAUAUAGAAUUUAACUUUUGAGUUAAAAGGCUUAAAUUUAAAUAGAGGACGAGAAGACCCUAUAGAGUUUUAUAUACUUUUAAAAUAAGUUUAAUUAGGUUAAGUAAUUUUUAUUUUAAAAGUAUAUUGGGUUGGGGUGACUUAAAGAUAAAAUUAACUCUUUAUUUGAUGAACAUUGAUUUAUGAAUAUGUGAUCCAUUUUUAGUGAUUAUAAGAUAAAAUUACCUUAGGGAUAACAGCGUAAUUUUUCUUGAGAGUUCUUAUCGACAGAAAAGUUUGCGACCUCGAUGUUGGACUAAGAAAAUGGCUUGAUGUAGCAGUUAAGUUAAUAAGUCUGUUCGACUUUUAAAUUCUUAC
RNAcentral lists this ribosomal RNA (513 nucleotides) under Conocephalus maculatus (maculated rice katydid). Its description in RNAcentral is "partial 16S ribosomal RNA". It matches the Rfam family "Bacterial large subunit ribosomal RNA", at positions 1815 to 2599 of the family's 2925-position model. The record is from RNAcentral. Lineage: Eukaryota; Metazoa; Arthropoda; Insecta; Orthoptera; Tettigoniidae.